AGUGAACGCUGGCGGUAGGCCUAACACAUGCAAGUCGAACGGCAGCACAGGAGAGCUUGCUCUCUGGGUGGCGAGUGGCGGACGGGUGAGGAAUACAUCGGAAUCUACUCUGUCGUGGGGGAUAACGUAGGGAAACUUACGCUAAUACCGCAUACGACCUACGGGUGAAAGCAGGGGAUCUUCGGACCUUGCGCGAUUGAAUGAGCCGAUGUCGGAUUAGCUAGUUGGCGGGGUAAAGGCCCACCAAGGCGACGAUCCGUAGCUGGUCUGAGAGGAUGAUCAGCCACACUGGAACUGAGACACGGUCCAGACUCCUACGGGAGGCAGCAGUGGGGAAUAUUGGACAAUGGGCGCAAGCCUGAUCCAGCCAUACCGCGUGGGUGAAGAAGGCCUUCGGGUUGUAAAGCCCUUUUGUUGGGAAAGAAAUCCAGCCGGCUAAUACCUGGUUGGGAUGACGGUACCCAAAGAAUAAGCACCGGC
Molecule: ribosomal RNA, 480 nt
Filed under: Stenotrophomonas maltophilia
Lineage: Bacteria; Pseudomonadati; Pseudomonadota; Gammaproteobacteria; Lysobacterales; Lysobacteraceae
Description: bacterial SSU rRNA
Rfam family: Bacterial small subunit ribosomal RNA
Source: RNAcentral